UUGCUUAGGCAGCACAUAUGGUAAAAUUGGAAUUACAGAGAAGAUUAGCAUGGCCUCUGAGCAAGAAUGACCAUAAAUUCACAAAGUGUUCCAUAUUUUU
RNAcentral lists this small nuclear RNA (100 nucleotides) under Castor canadensis (American beaver). The record is from RNAcentral. Lineage: Eukaryota; Metazoa; Chordata; Mammalia; Rodentia; Castoridae.